Molecule: long non-coding RNA, 238 nt
Filed under: Citrus sinensis (sweet orange)
Lineage: Eukaryota; Viridiplantae; Streptophyta; Magnoliopsida; Sapindales; Rutaceae
Description: long non-coding RNA (CSIN_LNC003782)
Source: RNAcentral
AAAAAAUAUAUUAAUUAAGGAAAAUGAGUAAAAUAUUAAUGAAUAAACUGAGUAGCAGUAGCCUAGAGGCCCCAAAGAUGGGAAAUUAUGAAAGGGCCAUCGGUCCAUAAUCUUUUUCCAAAAGCCCAUUGACAAAUUAAAGGUAAAAAUUUAUUCUCACGCAUGGCAAUUCAUAACCUAGCAUUGGAAUUGCUAUAUUGCCGUGUAUCUUCUUCUCCUUUAAAGGGGGAAAAAGGAA